CCUAUAUUUUUUAUUGUUAUUUUCGAAUAAGCUGUACAUAAACUAAAUAAUUGUAAAAUUUUAGCUAUUUCUGUAAUUUAGUUCUUUUUUUAUUUCGAUAUUACCUCUUUUUCUCCUAUCAGUUCAACAGAAAAUAAGUACUUUUACAAAAAUGUAUGCUUCUUUCAAUGGCAGAUUGUGAGCGUAAAUGGACGGUGACCCCAUUUUUUUUAUUUCAAAAAUCAGUUCGUGUUAGCCCCUGGUGACUUUUAAAAUGUAGAUAUCAUUGAAAAAGCUCCAAAUUAUCUCCCUUUGGUGCAAAAAUGCCAUUUUUUG
RNAcentral lists this long non-coding RNA (315 nucleotides) under Mytilus galloprovincialis (Mediterranean mussel). The record is from RNAcentral. Lineage: Eukaryota; Metazoa; Mollusca; Bivalvia; Mytilida; Mytilidae.